RNAcentral lists this transfer RNA (72 nucleotides) under Stegodyphus mimosarum. It matches the Rfam family "tRNA". Rfam says of the family: Transfer RNA (tRNA) molecules are approximately 80 nucleotides in length. Their secondary structure includes four short double-helical elements and three loops (D, anti-codon, and T loops). The record is from Rfam by way of RNAcentral. Lineage: Eukaryota; Metazoa; Arthropoda; Arachnida; Araneae; Eresidae.
GCCUUCGUGGUGCAACGGUAGCACACUCAACGCAUAUUCGAGAAGUUCAGGGUUCAAGUCCCGGCGAGGGCA